UACACACGUGCUACAAUGGCCUGUACAAAGGGCAGCAAAGGGCGACCCGGAGCAAAUCCCAAAAAACCAAGGUCUCAGUUCGGAUUGCAGGCUGCAACUCGCCUGCAUGAAGGCGGAAUCGCUAGUAAUCGCAGGUCAGCAUACUGCGGUGAAUACGUUCCCGGGCCUU
Molecule: ribosomal RNA, 169 nt
Filed under: uncultured Desulfotomaculum sp.
Lineage: Bacteria; Bacillati; Bacillota; Clostridia; Eubacteriales; Desulfotomaculaceae
Description: partial 16S ribosomal RNA
Rfam family: Bacterial small subunit ribosomal RNA
Source: RNAcentral